GCAUGAACGCUAGCGGCGUGCCUAACACAUGCAAGUCGAACGUGAGGAUGAUUUCGGUCAUCUGAAAGUGGCGGACGGGUGAGGAAGACGUAGGUGACCUGCCUUCGAGCGGGGGAUAACCACUGGAAACGGUGGCUAAUACCGCAUGAGGUGUCUGGCUUGGGAAAGCCAGACAAGAAAGCUUAGGCGCUGGAAGAGGGGCUUACGGCCGAUUAGCUAGUUGGUGAGGUAAAGGCUCACCAAGGCAAUGAUCGGUAGCUGGUCUGAGAGGACGAUCAGCCACACGGGAACUGAGACACGGUCCCGACUCCUACGGGGGGCAGCAGUGAGGAAUAUUCGGCAAUGGGGGGAACCCUGACCGAGCAACGCCGCGUGAAGGAUGAAGGUCUUCGGAUUGUAAACUUCUUUUCACGGGGAAGAGAGAGGACGGUACCCGUGGAAUCAGUCACGGCUAACUACGUGC
RNAcentral lists this ribosomal RNA (463 nucleotides) under uncultured bacterium. RNAcentral describes it as "bacterial SSU rRNA". It matches the Rfam family "Bacterial small subunit ribosomal RNA", at positions 27 to 508 of the family's 1533-position model. The record is from RNAcentral.